This 484-nucleotide ribosomal RNA is filed under the name uncultured bacterium. RNAcentral describes it as "bacterial SSU rRNA". It matches the Rfam family "Bacterial small subunit ribosomal RNA", at positions 28 to 473 of the family's 1533-position model. The record is from RNAcentral.
GAUGAACGCUGGCGGCGUGCUUAACACAUGCAAGUCGAACGAAGCACUUUACUACGAUUUCUUCGGAAUGACGGUUUUGUGACUGAGUGGCGAACGGGUGAGUAACGCGUAGGCAACCUGCCCUUUAGUUGGGGACAACAUCCCGAAAGGGGUGCUAAUACCGAAUGCGUUCUUUUUGUCGCAUGGCAGAGAGAAGAAAGGGAGGCUCUUCGGAGCUUUCGCUGAAGGAGGGGCUUGCGUCUGAUUAGCUAGUUGGAGGGGUAACGGCCCACCAAGGCGACGAUCAGUAGCCGGUCUGAGAGGAUGAACGGCCACAUUGGGACUGAGACACGGCCCAGACUCCUACGGAGGCAGCAGUGGGGAAUCUUCCGCAAUGGGCGCAAGCCUGACGGAGCGAACGCCGCGUGAGUGAAGAAGGUUUUCGGAUCGUAAAGCUCUGUUGAGAGGGACGAGAGGCAAGGCUAGGAAAUGAGCUUUGUAGGAC